GGGGAACCUGCGGUUGGAUCACCUCCUUACCUUAAGAUACCUUCCCGCGCAGUGCUCACACAGAUUGUCUGAUAAAAAGUAAUGAGCAGGACGGCUGCGAAGUCGUGACACUAUCGUGUCCCCUUCGUCUAGCGGUUAGGACUCCGCCCUUUCACGGCGGCAACAGGGGUUCGAAUCCCCUAGGGGACGCCACCUGCUUGGUGACAGGUGAAAGGUGUCUCCACAGUAUCUCAAAACCGGUUCGGCUGCGUAAGCGGCGGAGACGCGUUUGAGAUAUUUGCUCUUUAACAAUCCGGAACAAGCUGAAAAUUGAAACGACGCGUCGUUUUCAUUCUCCGUAAUAAGAAUGAAAAACACGGCGCGUUCGAGUCUCUCAAAUGCUUGCAGCCUGCAGCGUUGAAAAACGCCUGUGGGUUGUGAGGUUAAGCGACUAAGCGUACAC
RNAcentral lists this unclassified non-coding RNA (442 nucleotides) under uncultured bacterium. Its description in RNAcentral is "partial contains 16S rRNA, ITS and 23S rRNA". The stretch from base 283 to 413 matches the Rfam family "Salmonella enterica Typhi npcRNA 44". The record is from RNAcentral.